Molecule: ribosomal RNA, 486 nt
Filed under: uncultured bacterium
Lineage: Bacteria
Description: partial 16S ribosomal RNA
Rfam family: Bacterial small subunit ribosomal RNA
Source: RNAcentral
AUUGAACGCUGGCGGCAUGCCUUACACAUGCAAGUCGAACGGCAGCACGGGGGGUAACCCCUGGUGGCGAGUGGCGAACGGGUGAGUAAUAUAUCGGUACGUGUCCUGUAGCGGGGGAUUACCUAUCGAAAGAUGGACUAAUACCGCAUACGACCUACGGGUGACAGCGGAGGACCGCAAGGCUUCGCACUAUAGGAGCUGCCCAUAUCGGAUUAGCUCGUUGGGGGGGUAACGGGCCACCAAGGCGACGAUCCGUAGCUGGUCGGAGAGGACGAUCAGCCACACUGGAACUGAGACACGGUCCAGACUCCUACGGGAGGCAGCAGUGGGGAAUUUUGGACAAUGGGCGCAAGCCUGAUCCAGCCAUGCCGCGUGAGAGAAGAAGGCCUUCGGGUUGUAAAGCUCUUUCGGCGGGGACGAAACGGUUCGUGCUAAUACCACGGACUACUGACGGUACCCGCAGAAGAAGCACCGGCUAACUACGUG